AUGCAGUCGAGGGGUAUAGUUCUUCGGAACUAGAGACCGGCGCACGGGUGCGUAACGCGUAUGCAAUCUACCUUUUACAGAGGGAUAGCCCAGAGAAAUUUGGAUUAAUACCUCAUAGUAUAUAGCCCUGGCAUCAGGAUUAUAUUAAAGUCACAACGGUAAAAGAUGAGCAUGCGUCCCAUUAGCUAGUUGGUAAGGUAACGGCUUACCAAGGCUACGAUGGGUAGGGGUCCUGAGAGGGAGAUCCCCCACACUGGUACUGAGACACGGACCAGACUCCUACGGGAGGCAGCAGUGAGGAAUAUUGGACAAUGGGCGCAAGCCUGAUCCAGCCAUGCCGCGUGCAGGAUGACGGUCCUAUGGAUUGUAAACUGCUUUUAUACGAGAAGAAACACUCCUUCGUGAAGGAGCUUGACGGUAUCGUAAGAAUAAGGAUCGGCUAACUCCGUGCCAGCAGCCGCGGUAAUACGGAGGAUCCAAGCGUUAUCCGGAAUCAUUGGGUUUAAAGGGUCCGUAGGCGGUUUAAUAAGUCAGUGGUGAAAGCCCAUCGCUCAACGGUGGAACGGCCAUUGAUACUGUUAGACUUGAAUUAUUAGGAAGUAACUAGAAUAUGUAGUGUAGCGGUGAAGUGCUUAGAGAUUACAUGGAAUACCAAUUGCGAAGGCAGGUUACUACUAAUUGAUUGACGCUGAUGGACGAAAGCGUGGGUAGCGAACAGGAUUAGAUACCCUGGUAGUCCACGCCGUAAACGAUGGAUACUAGCUGUUGGAAGCAAUUUCAGUGGCUAAGCGAAAGUGAUAAGUAUCCCACCUGGGGAGUACGUUCGCAAGAAUGAAACUCAAAGGAAUUGACGGGGGCCCGCACAAGCGGUGGAGCAUGUG
RNAcentral lists this ribosomal RNA (881 nucleotides) under uncultured bacterium. Its description in RNAcentral is "bacterial SSU rRNA". It matches the Rfam family "Bacterial small subunit ribosomal RNA", at positions 55 to 943 of the family's 1533-position model. The record is from RNAcentral.